This 468-nucleotide ribosomal RNA is filed under the name uncultured bacterium. Its description in RNAcentral is "partial 16S ribosomal RNA". It matches the Rfam family "Bacterial small subunit ribosomal RNA", at positions 28 to 507 of the family's 1533-position model. The record is from RNAcentral.
GACGAACGCUGGCGGCGUGCUUAACACAUGCAAGUCGAACGGAAAGGCCCUGCUGGUGGGGGUUGCGCGAGGGGCGAACGGGUGAGUAACACGUGAGUAGCCUUCCCUUGAGGGUGGGAUAAGGGCAAGUAAGUGGAGCUAAGAACGGGUACGAACUUCUGCGGCAGGGGGGGGGAGGGAUAGUUGCGGCGGUUGGGGAUGGACCCGGGGCUCAUCAGCUUGUUGGUGGGGUAGUGGCUGACGAAGGCUUGUAGGGGUAGCCGGCCUGUGGGGGUGACCGGCAAAAUUGGGACUGGGAUAGGGCCCAGACUCCUCCGGGAGGCAGCAGUGGGGAAUAUUGCAAAAUGGGCGGAAGCCUGAUGCAGGAACGCGGCGUGGGGGAUGACGGCCUUCGGGUUGUAACCCGCUUUCGCCUGUGACGAAGCGUGAGUGACGGUAAUGGGUAAAGAAGCACCGGCUAACUACGUG